RNAcentral lists this ribosomal RNA (440 nucleotides) under uncultured bacterium. RNAcentral describes it as "partial 16S ribosomal RNA". It matches the Rfam family "Bacterial small subunit ribosomal RNA", at positions 338 to 795 of the family's 1533-position model. The record is from RNAcentral.
CCUACGGGUGGCAGCAGUGGGGAAUAUUGCACAAUGGGGGAAACCCUGAUGCAGCGACGCCGCGUGAGUGAAGAAGUAUCUCGGUAUGUAAAGCUCUAUCAGCAGGGAAGAAACUGACGGUACUUGACUAAGAAGCCCCGUCGAACUACGUGCUAGCAGCCGCGGUAAUAUGUAGGGGGCAAGCGUUAUCCGGAUUUACUGGGGGUAAAGGGAGCGUAGACGGCAGUGCAAGUCUGGAGUGAAAGGCGGGGGCUCAACCCCCGGACUGCACUGGAAACUGUACGGCUGGAGUGCAGGAGAGGUAAGUGGAAUUCGUAGUGUAGCGGUGAAAUGCGUAGAUAUUAGGAGGAACACCAGUGGCGAAGGCGGCUUACUGGACUGUAACUGACGUUGAGGCUCGAAAGCGUGGGGAGCAAACAGGAUUAGAUACCCGUGUAGUC